Molecule: RNase P RNA, 435 nt
Filed under: Rhodococcus triatomae
Lineage: Bacteria; Bacillati; Actinomycetota; Actinomycetes; Mycobacteriales; Nocardiaceae
Description: Bacterial RNase P class A
Rfam family: Bacterial RNase P class A
About the family: Ribonuclease P (RNase P) is a ubiquitous endoribonuclease, found in archaea, bacteria and eukarya as well as chloroplasts and mitochondria. Its best characterised activity is the generation of mature 5'-ends of tRNAs by cleaving the 5'-leader elements of precursor-tRNAs. Cellular RNase Ps are ribonucleoproteins.
Source: Rfam by way of RNAcentral
CGAGUUGGCCGGGCGGCCGCGGCAGAGGGAACCGGACGCACCUUCGGGUGUGCCCAGGCCUUCGGCCGAGGAAAGUCCGGACUCCACAGAGCAGGGCGGUUGCUAACGGCAACCCGAGGUGACUCGCGGGACAGUGCCACAGAAAACAGACCGCCUCUCGCGGCCUUCGGGCCGUGGGAGGUGAGGGUGAAACGGUGCGGUAAGAGCGCACCAGCAUCCCGGGUGACCGGGAUGGCUAGGUAAACCCCGCCCGGAGCAAGGUUGAAGGCCGCAUCGACGUCUGGCGUCGGUGCGACUGCGCAGGUGUUCGAGGGCUGCUCGCCCGAGCCUGCGGGUGAACCGCUCGAGGUACCCGGCGACGGUGUGCCCAGAUGGAUGGUCGCCGCCCGACCUUUCGGUCGGGCACAGGAUCCGGCUUACACGCCAACUCGUCCG